GUCUUGGUUCUCAGCACAUAUACUUAAGUUGGAAAGAUACAGAGAAGAUUAGCAUGGCCACUGCACAAAAGCAUUUCUCUACACUGUUUU
Molecule: small nuclear RNA, 90 nt
Filed under: Fukomys damarensis (Damara mole-rat)
Lineage: Eukaryota; Metazoa; Chordata; Mammalia; Rodentia; Bathyergidae
Source: RNAcentral